RNAcentral lists this long non-coding RNA (436 nucleotides) under Vombatus ursinus (common wombat). Its description in RNAcentral is "lncRNA (ENSVURG00010009597.1)". Lineage: Eukaryota; Metazoa; Chordata; Mammalia; Diprotodontia; Vombatidae. The record is from RNAcentral.
AGCCGGAAGAGCGGGUCCCCGCUGGUGUUUGGGGCCCCCGGGCGGCUUGGAAGAGAAGGUGAGCUUUCAGAAAGCUUGUUCCCUCCCGGGAGGAGCCCGAGCCGAGCGUCUGGUCUCCUUAGGGAAUGGCGCUCGGCCAGACCGCUGCCCCGGUGUCACGGGAGGGACCGGGGGAUCGGAGGACAAGACAGUAGUGAUUCCCUUCUCUUGGACUCCAUUUUGGGAAGACAGGUACUUUCUGAUUUCUGGAAGAGGCUGUAACUAAUUUCUGGGCAAAUCUGCAAAGCAGAUUCCUGUAGAAGUGGCCUUCAUCUUGUCAUUGUUGAAUUUGGGGCCUUUUGGAUCAGGACAUACUUCAGUGCCAAGCAAUGAUACUACAUUGAAAAAAAAAAGGUAUUGCUGAAUGUUGGAAGGCCUAUUGCUUCAUCUUUGUUUU